RNAcentral lists this ribosomal RNA (184 nucleotides) under uncultured bacterium. RNAcentral's name for it is "partial 16S ribosomal RNA". It matches the Rfam family "Bacterial small subunit ribosomal RNA", at positions 1317 to 1500 of the family's 1533-position model. The record is from RNAcentral.
UACAUGAAGCUGGAAUCGCUAGUAAUCGCGAAUCAGAAUGUCGCGGUGAAUACGUUCCCGGGUCUUGUACACACCGCCCGUCACACCAUGGGAGUCGGAAAUGCCCGAAGUCAGUGACCUAACCGAAAGGGAGGAGCUGCCGAAGGUGGAGCCGGUAACUGGGGUGAAGUCGUAACAAGGUAAC